UGCGGAAAUGGGCUUCUGUAGUUGUGUGAAUGCAUCAUUCCAGCCAAUCCAACCAAUCAGGUGUAGAGACCAUGGUGACUGGCUCCGCCCCCUUACUGUCAAAAACAGCGAGCGCGCAGAAAACACCUUCUCGAGUAUGUUGUUUUUCACAUGAACGCAACUUUUGACCUGGGUUUGGCUCCAUGCUCGAGCGCUCAAAUUCUGGUUUUGCAAGCGAGCAAAUAGCUCCCGCGAGGUGGACUUAUGCUCUCUCGAGACCGACUUUUGGUCGCGCGUGAUUUGCGCUCUCGGGUUUUGACAGUAAUUUGCCUUCGUAGUGUGGGUUGUUGUGAGUCCGUUUCGAUCCGCUUCUUCACUGCAUUGCCCACAAUCAUCGGUCCUUACAGGGUACAACGCUGCAGUUCGCCCAUCUGGCCGACAGGUGGCAGUGACGACUACACUUUGAAAAAAAAAGCUAAACUUUAAGUGAAAAAACAGAAGGGGAGAAGAAAGGGGAAAGGAAAGAAGCUAGCGGCGCAGAGGUGAACUUUAGCGUGCAGCUAGCUCACAACUUUACCAACUCUCUGCGGUCGGCCGCAGCUUCCUUUCAGCCCGGUUCAGUCAGAGGAAACGAGGGCGCGAACAGCUGACUGACUUCCCCUUGUUUCACGCCGCAUCUUUGUACCAUCAUCUCCUGCUUCAGGGUUCUCCUUUGGGAUCGAAACAUCCCGGUUCAUCUACUAGUUGCAGCCCAGAAAGCUGUACUCCUGGCCCUAAAGUAAAGUCACAAUGAUUUAUGCAACUUUACGAGUCCAUAAAUCAUCUUACAGAGGUCUCAUCUGCUACAGUGGGAAAUCUUUGCAUUUAAUAAUUAACUGUUUUGUUUUAUGAUCCAGUCUUGAACCCGCUUCGGAUAACAACUUCUUUCACCUUUCACAAUAAAGGCCCCAAUCACAGGCACC
Molecule: long non-coding RNA, 941 nt
Organism: Gasterosteus aculeatus aculeatus (three-spined stickleback)
Lineage: Eukaryota; Metazoa; Chordata; Actinopteri; Perciformes; Gasterosteidae
Source: Ensembl